GAAAUGCGAUACGUAAUGUGAAUUGCAGAAUUCAGUGAAUCAUCGAAUCUUUGAACGCAUAUUGCGCUCUUUGGUAUUCCGAAGAGCAUGCUUGUUUGAGUAUCAGUAAACACCUCAACUCUAUUUCUUUUUGAAAUGGAGCUGGACUUGAGUGAUCCCAACGCUUUUUUCAAAAGUGGCGGGUUACUUGAAAUGCAGGUGCAGCUGGACUUUUCUCUGAGCUAAAAGCAUAUCUAUUUAGUCUGCCUAAAAACAGAUUAUUACCUUUGCUGCAGCUAACAUAAAGGAGAUUAGUUCUUGUGCUGACUGAUGCAGGAUUCACAGAGACAGCUUCGGCCGUCUUUGUAAACUCGAUCUCAAAUCAAGUAAGACUACCCGCUGAACUUAA
This 388-nucleotide unclassified non-coding RNA is filed under the name uncultured fungus. RNAcentral's name for it is "sequence contains ITS1". The stretch from base 1 to 105 matches the Rfam family "5.8S ribosomal RNA", at positions 50 to 154 of the family's 154-position model. Lineage: Eukaryota; Fungi. The record is from RNAcentral.